GACGAACGCUGGCGGCGUGCUUAACACAUGCAAGUCGAACGGAAAGGCCCUGCUUUUGUGGGGUGCUCGAGUGGCGAACGGGUGAGUAACACGUGAGUAACCUGCCCUUGACUUUGGGAUAACUUCAGGAAACUGGGGCUAAUACCGGAUAGGAGCUCCUGCUGCAUGGUGGGCGUUGGAAAGUUUCGGCGGUUGGGGAUGGACUCGCGGCUUAUCAGCUUGUUGGUGGGGUAGUGGCUUACCAAGGCUUGGACGGGUAGCCGGCCUGGGAGGGUGACCGGCCACAUUGGGACUGAGAUACGGCCCAGACUCCUACGGGAGGCAGCAGUGGGGAAUAUUGCACAAUGGGCGGAAGCCUGAUGCAGCGGCGCCGCGUGCGGGAUGACGGCCUUCGGGUUGUGAACCGCUUUCGCCUGAAACGAAGCGUGAGUGACGGUAAUGGGUAAAGAAGCACCGGCUAACUACGUG
RNAcentral lists this ribosomal RNA (468 nucleotides) under uncultured bacterium. RNAcentral's name for it is "partial 16S ribosomal RNA". It matches the Rfam family "Bacterial small subunit ribosomal RNA", at positions 28 to 507 of the family's 1533-position model. The record is from RNAcentral.